Molecule: ribosomal RNA, 426 nt
Filed under: uncultured bacterium
Lineage: Bacteria
Description: bacterial SSU rRNA
Rfam family: Bacterial small subunit ribosomal RNA
Source: RNAcentral
GGACCCGCACAAGUAGUGGAGCAUGUGGUUUAAUUCGAAGAUACGCGCAGAACCUUACCAACACUUGACAUGUUCGUCGCGACUUUGAGAGAUCAAAGUUUUCGGUUCGGCCGGACGAAACACAGGUGCUGCAUGGCUGUCGUCAGCUCGUGUCGUGAGAUGUUGGGUUAAGUCCCGCAACGAGCGCAACCCUCACUUUUAGUUGCCAUCAUUUAGUUGGGCACUCUGAAAGAACUGCCAGUGAUAAGCUGGAGGAAGGUGGGGAUGACGUCAAGUCCUCAUGGCCCUUACGUGUUGGGCUACACACGUGCUACAAUGGUAUCUACAACAGGAAGCAAGAUGGCAACAUUUAGCAAAUCCUAAAAAGAUACCUCAGUUCGGAUUGCACUCUGCAACUCGAGUGCAUGAAGCUGGAAUUACUAGUAA